This 580-nucleotide ribosomal RNA is filed under the name Lichtheimia hongkongensis. Its description in RNAcentral is "eukaryotic LSU rRNA". It matches the Rfam family "Eukaryotic large subunit ribosomal RNA", at positions 110 to 610 of the family's 3401-position model. Lineage: Eukaryota; Fungi; Mucoromycota; Mucoromycetes; Mucorales; Lichtheimiaceae. The record is from RNAcentral.
AAAGUUGGAACCUGGCUGCCCUAGGCAGUCCGGAUUGUAAACUAAAGAGCGUGAUUCCAGGCAAGCCGGUUGAUCAAGUCCUUUGGAAUGAGGCGCCACUGAGGGUGAGAGCCCCGUAAGUCGACUGAGCAUUUGUCUUUUGUGUUUCGCGUUCAAAGAGUCAGGUUGUUUGGGAAUGCAGCCUAAAGCUGGUGGUAAAUCCCACCUAAAGCUAAAUACAGGCGAGAGACCGAUAGCGAACAAGUACCGUGAGGGAAAGAUGAAAAGAACUUUGAAAAGAGAGUUAAACAGUAUGUGAAAUUGCCAAGAGGGAAGCAUUUGGAGUUAGAUUGACUAGGAGUUAAUCAGCUUGGUCUUUGGACUGGGUGUACUUGACUUCUAUUGGUCUGCCAAUAGCAGUUAGUCCUAGUGGAAAAAACUAGAGGGAAGGUAGUCCUUCGGGAUGUUUAUAGACCUUUGGAAAAUACACUGGGAUUGACUGAGGAAUGCAGUAGAUGCCACUAAGGCUUCGUCUAGUGGGUGCUAGGCAAAGGUACUUGGUAUUUUCAGCUUGCUGAUGUGCUAGGUUACCCGAGUCUAG